Molecule: non-coding RNA, 177 nt
Filed under: insect gut metagenome
Description: 6S / SsrS RNA
Rfam family: 6S / SsrS RNA
About the family: E. coli 6S RNA was the first non coding RNA to be sequenced, but its function was unknown until recently. It consists of 184 nucleotides that fold into an extended hairpin structure with a large single-stranded internal bulge.
Source: RNAcentral
UUCUCUGGGAUGUUUGUUAUUGGUGAGUCCCCUGAGCCGAUAUUUCAAACAAUAAGAAUGUGAUGAUCUCCAACUGGUGAGCACACCUGGUUUUCCAGGAAGCCUAAAAGUUGUGGCGUUGCGUUCACCUUGAGCCUAGGGUUCAAGGGUUAUAACUGAUAACGGCAUCCUGGAGAU